AGCUAGUUGGUGGGGUAAAGGCCUACCAAGGCGACGAUGGUUAGCUGGUCUGAGAGGAUGAUCAGCCACACUGGAACUGACACACGGUCCAGACUCCUACGGGAGGCAGCAGUGAGGAAUUUUGCGCAAUGGGGUAACCCCUGACGCAGCAACGCCGCGUGAGUGAUGAAGGCUUUUGGGUGUAAAACUCUGUCAAUGGGAAAGAAAUUACAAUAUAUUAAUAGUGUGUUGUAUUGACGGUACCCAUGAAGGAAGCACCGGCUAACUCCGUGCCAGCAGCCGCGGUAAUACGGGGGGUGCAAGCGUUAUUCGGAAUUAUUGGGCGUAAAGGGCGCGCAGGCUGUAUACUAGGUCAGAUGUGAAAGUUCAGGGCUUAACUCUGAAAGUGCAUUUGAAACCAUUAUACUUGAGUAUGGGAGAGGGAAGUGGAAUUCCAGGUGUAGAGGUGAAAUUCGUAGAUAUCUGGAGGAACACCGGUGGCGAAGGCGACUUCCUGGACCAAUACUGACGCUGAGGCGCGAAGGCGUGGGUAGCGAACAGGAUUAGAUACCCUGGUAGUCCACGCAGUAAACGUUGAUCACUAGGUGUAGCGGGUAUUGACCCCUGCUGUGCCGGAGCAAACGCAUUAAGUGAUCCGCCUGGGGAGUACGAUCGCAAGAUUAAAACUCAAGGGAAUUGACGGGGGCCCGCACAAGCGGUGGAGCAUGUGGUUUAAUUCGACGCAACGCGAAGAACCUUACCUGGAUUUGACAUCUUGGGAAUACCUUAGAAAUUUGGUAGUGCCUUUCGGGGAGCCCAAAGACAGGUGCUGCAUGGCUGUCGUCAGCUCGUGUCGUGAGAUGUUGGGUUAAGUCCCGCAACGAGCGCAACCCCUAUCUUUAGUUACCAUCAUUUAGUUGGGGACUCUAGAGAUACUGCCCCGGUUAACGGGGAGGAAGGUGGGGAUGACGUCAAGUCCUCAUGGCCUUCAUAUCCAGGGCUACACACGUGCUACAAUGGUAUGUACAAAGAGUUGCUAAGCCGCGAGGUCAAGCUAAUCUCAUAAAGCAUAUCUUAGUUCGGAUUGGAGUCUGCAACUCGACUCCAUGAAGUUGGAAUCGCUAGUAAUCGUAGAUCAGCAUGCUACGGUGAAUACGUUCCCGGGCCUUGUACACACCGCCCGUCACACCAUGAGAGUUGACUGUACCAGAAGUUGUUGAGGUAACCUUCGGGAGCCAGGCACCUAAGGUAUGGUUGAUAACUGGGGUGAAGUCGGAACAAGGUA
This 1264-nucleotide ribosomal RNA is filed under the name metagenome. Its description in RNAcentral is "bacterial SSU rRNA". It matches the Rfam family "Bacterial small subunit ribosomal RNA", at positions 243 to 1498 of the family's 1533-position model. The record is from RNAcentral.